RNAcentral lists this ribosomal RNA (253 nucleotides) under uncultured bacterium. RNAcentral describes it as "partial 16S ribosomal RNA". It matches the Rfam family "Bacterial small subunit ribosomal RNA", at positions 524 to 776 of the family's 1533-position model. The record is from RNAcentral.
UACGAAGGGGGCUAGCGUUGUUCGGAAUUACUGGGCGUAAAGGGCGCGUAGGCGGCGACUCAAGUUAGAUGUGAAAGCCCUGGGCUCAACCCGGGAAUUGCGCUUGAUACUGGUGCGCUUGAAUCCAGGAGAGGUUGGUGGAAUUCCCAGUGUAGAGGUGAAAUUCAUAGAGAUUGGGAAGAACACCGGUGGCGAAGGCGGCCAACUGGACUGGUAUUGACGCUGAGGCGCGAAAGCGUGGGGAGCAAACAGG